RNAcentral lists this ribosomal RNA (251 nucleotides) under uncultured prokaryote. RNAcentral describes it as "partial 16S rRNA". It matches the Rfam family "Bacterial small subunit ribosomal RNA", at positions 525 to 775 of the family's 1533-position model. The record is from RNAcentral.
ACGGAGGAUGCGAGCGUUAUCCGGAUUCAUUGGGUUUAAAGGGUGCGUAGGCGGACUUAUAAGUCAGUGGUGAAAUCCUGCAGCUUAACUGUAGCACUGCCAUUGAUACUGUUAGUCUUGAGUUUGGUUAAGGUAGGCGGAAUGUGUAAUGUAGCGGUGAAAUGCUUAGAUAUUACCCAGAACACCAAUUGCGAAGGCAGCUUACUGGACCGAUACUGACGCUGAUGCACGAAAGCGUGGGGAGCGAACAG